CCCUUAGAUGUUCUGGGCCGCACGCGCGCUACACUGAUGCAUUCAACGAGUCUAAAACCUGGUCUGAUAGGGCUGGGUAAUCUUUUGAAUGUGCAUCGUGAUUGGGAUAGAUGAUUGCAGUUCUUCAUCUUCAACGAGGAAUGCCUAGUAAACGCAAGUCAUCAGCUUGCAUUGAUUACGUCCCUGCCCUUUGUACACACCGCCCGUCGCUCCUACCGAUUGAAUGUUCCGAUGAAUACCAUGGACUGAGAGUAUGAAUGGGUUCGCCUAUUUCUGCUUCUCGGGAAGUGGAGUAAAUCUUAACAUUUAGAGGAAGGAGAAGUCGUAACA
RNAcentral lists this ribosomal RNA (330 nucleotides) under uncultured eukaryote. RNAcentral's name for it is "partial 18S ribosomal RNA". It matches the Rfam family "Eukaryotic small subunit ribosomal RNA", at positions 1470 to 1796 of the family's 1831-position model. The record is from RNAcentral.